RNAcentral lists this ribosomal RNA (779 nucleotides) under Dictyostelium sp. Its description in RNAcentral is "SSU rRNA". It matches the Rfam family "Eukaryotic small subunit ribosomal RNA", at positions 52 to 836 of the family's 1831-position model. Lineage: Eukaryota; Evosea; Eumycetozoa; Dictyosteliales; Dictyosteliaceae. The record is from RNAcentral.
UGCAUGUCUAAGUAUAAAUUCUUGUACGAUGAAACUGCAGACGGCUCAUUACAACAGUGAUAAACUGCUAGACUUUCGGGUUUUUAACCUUUUGGAUAACCGCAGUAAAUCGGGGCUAAUACAUAGAAGCGAUGGGUGACUGGCAACGGAAGCUCAGCGAUUAUUAGCAUUACUACCAAUACCUUCGGGUCUUGUGGUGAAACCGAAUAAUAUUGCAGAUCGAGGAUUUAUCUUCGACAAGUCUACUGUGUCACUGCCCUAUCAACUUUCGAUGGUACGGUAUUGGCCUACCAUGGUUGUAACGGGUAACGGGGAAUUAGGGUUCGAUUCCGGAGAGGGAGCCUGAGAAAUGGCUACCACUUCUACGGAAGGCAGCAGGCGCGCAAAUUACUCAAUCCCAAUACGGGGAAGUAGUGACAAUAAAUAUCAAUACCUAUCCUUUUUGGAGGGCAAUUGAAAUGAACACAAAUUAAAACUCUUAAUUAACACAAUUGGAGGGCAAGUCUGGUGCCAGCAGCCGCGGUAAUUCCAGCUCCAAUAGCAUAUACUAAAGUUGUUGCAGUUAAAAAGCUCGUAGUUGAAGUUAAAGUUUUAUUGGGCUUAAGUUUUUUACCACCUAGUGGCUAAAAUAACUCCAAUAAUUCUUUUUUUAAUAGCUCAGUUUCUAGGUCUUUGACUCUAGUUAUUUGGGCAUUUCACUGUGAGAAAAUUGUGGUGUUUAAAGCAGGCGUCUCGUCUGAUCUUUUGCAGCAUGGUAUGAUGGAACAUGACAUUUUACG